GACGAACGCUGGCGGCGUGCUUAACACAUGCAAGUCGAACGGAAAGGCCCAGCUUGCUGGGUGCUCGAGUGGCGAACGGGUGAGUAACACGUGGGUGAUCUGCCUCUAACUUCGGGAUAAGCUUGGGAAACUGGGUCUAAUACCGGAUAGGACAAUCGUUUAGUGUCGGUUGUGGAAAGUUUUUUCGGUUAGGGAUGAGCCCGCGGCCUAUCAGCUUGUUGGUGGGGUAAUGGCCUACCAAGGCGUCGACGGGUAGCCGGCCUGAGAGGGUGGACGGCCACAUUGGGACUGAGAUACGGCCCGGACUCCUACGGGAGGCAGCAGUGGGGAAUAUUGCACAAUGGGCGCAAGCCUGAUGCAGCGACGCCGCGUGGGGGAUGACGGCCUUCGGGUUGUAAACCUCUUUCGACAGGGACGAAGCUUUGGUGACGGUACCUGUAUAAGAAGCACCGGCUAACUACGUG
Molecule: ribosomal RNA, 464 nt
Filed under: uncultured bacterium
Lineage: Bacteria
Description: partial 16S ribosomal RNA
Rfam family: Bacterial small subunit ribosomal RNA
Source: RNAcentral